RNAcentral lists this ribosomal RNA (528 nucleotides) under uncultured bacterium. RNAcentral describes it as "bacterial SSU rRNA". It matches the Rfam family "Bacterial small subunit ribosomal RNA", at positions 355 to 893 of the family's 1533-position model. The record is from RNAcentral.
UGAGGGAUAUUGCACAGUGGGGGAAACCCUGAUGCAGCGACGCCGCGUGGGUGAAGAAGGUCUUCGGAUCGUAAAGCCCUUUUCUGCAUGACGAGACAAGGACGGUAGUGCAGGAAUAAGCCUCGGCUAACUACGUGCCAGCAGCCGCGGUAAAACGUAGGAGGCGAGCGUUAUCCGGAGUUACUGGGCGUAAAGCGUGCGUAGGCGGUUGCGUAAGUGGGACGUGAAAGCUCCCGGCUAAACUGGGGGAGGACGACUCAGACUGCGCGACUAGAGGGCGAUAGAGGAGCGCGGAAUUCGGGGUGUAGCGGUGAAAUGUGUAGAGAUCCCGAGGAACACCAGUGGUGCAAAACGGCGCUCUGGGUUGCUACUGACGCUGAGGCACGAAAGCUUGGGGAGCGAACGGGAUUAGAGACCCCGGUAGUCCAAGCCGUAAACGAUGUCAACCGGGGUGUCGCGGUUUCGAAAGGGACUGGGGUGCCGAAGCCAACGCGGUAAGUUGACCGCCUGGGGAGUACGGUCGCAAGG